This 499-nucleotide unclassified non-coding RNA is filed under the name uncultured Paraglomus. Its description in RNAcentral is "SSU rRNA". It matches the Rfam family "Eukaryotic small subunit ribosomal RNA", at positions 591 to 1092 of the family's 1831-position model. The record is from RNAcentral. Lineage: Eukaryota; Fungi; Glomeromycota; Glomeromycetes; Paraglomerales; Paraglomeraceae.
CCAAUAGCGUAUAUUAAAGUUGUUGUGGUUAAAAAGCUCGUAGUUGAACCUUGGGCCUGGCUGGCCGGUCCGCCUCACCGCGUGUACUGGUCCGGCCGGGCCUUUCCCUCUGUGGAACCUCAUGCCCUUCACUGGGUGUGACGGGGAAGCAGGACUUUUACUGUGAAAAAAUUAGAGUGCUCCAAGCAGGCCUAUGCUCGAAUACAUUAGCAUGGAAUAAUGAAAUAGGACGUGCAGUUCUAUUUUGUUGGUUUCUAGGACCGCCGUAAUGAUUAAUAGGGACAGUCGGGGGCAUCAGUAUUCAAUUGUCAGAGGUGAAAUUCUUGGAUUUAUUGAAGACUAACUACUGCGAAAGCAUUUGCCAAGGAUGUUUUCAUUAAUCAAGAACGAAAGUUAGGGGAUCGAAGACGAUCAGAUACCGUCGUAGUCUUAACCAUAAACUAUGCCGACUAGGGAUCGGAUGAUGUUAAUUUUUUAAUGACUCAUUCGGCGCCUUACG